AAGAGCGCACGGAGGAUGCCUAGGCGCCAGAAGCCGAUGAAGGACGUGGCGAACCACGAUAGGCCUCGGGGAGCUGUAAGCAAGCGUUGAUCCGGGGAUUUCCGAAUGGGGAAACCCAGCUGGAGUAAUGUCCAGUUACUGCAGAGUGAAUACAU
RNAcentral lists this ribosomal RNA (155 nucleotides) under Paenibacillus sp. P22. RNAcentral describes it as "5.8S ribosomal RNA". It matches the Rfam family "Bacterial large subunit ribosomal RNA", at positions 13 to 167 of the family's 2925-position model. Lineage: Bacteria; Bacillati; Bacillota; Bacilli; Caryophanales; Paenibacillaceae. The record is from RNAcentral.